UGUAGUGGCCAUCACAAAGCCCUGACCUCAAUCCUAUACACAAUUUGUGGGCAGAACUGAAAAAGCAUGUGCGAGCAAGGAGGCCUACAAACCUGACUCAGUUACACCAGCUCUGUCAGGAGCAAUGGGUCAAAAUUCACCCAACUUAUUGUGGGAAUCUUGUGGAAGGCUACCUGAAACGUUUGACCCAAGUUAAACAAUUUAAAGGCAAUGCUACCAAAUACUAAUUGAGUGUAUGUAAACUUCUGACCCACUGGGAAUGUGAUGAAAUAAAUAAAAGCUGAAAUAAAUCCUAUUAUUCUGACAUUUCACAUUUUUUUAAAUAACGUGAUGAUCCUAACUGACCUAAGACAGGGAAUUUCUACUAUGAUUAAAUGUCAGGAAUUGUGAAAAGCUGAGUUUAAAUGUAUUUGGCUAAGGUGUAUGUGAACUUGCAACUUCAACUGUAUCUACCUGGGUGAUUGAGAGAUGAACUGAGAUCCACACUACAGUUGGUGGUUAUAAUGCACCUUAAAGUUUGUUGCCAACUGCCAUAUAAAGUCCACAGAAGAAGAAGACUGAAGGAGGAGAGAUUACUAGAAACUAACUCAAUUUCACCUUUUAGCUGUGGAUUAACUGUUGGAGUAGAAAACGCACGAUUUUGUGUGACUCAAUAUAGGUCAAAAUUCUACACAGACACAGGAAAAAAGGAACUUGUGCAUUUCAGCUGGAGGAAAAAUGUGAUAAGACCUACGUAGACUAUAGCCGGGUGAGUACGCGCAAGAGAGCUUUCUAUUGUUCGUCUUCAGGCCAUCUUAUUUGUAUCAUUGAGGAAUAUGACCAAUGUAGGCCUAAAUCAUUAAUGGCCCAGUGCAGUCAUAACCAUGAUUUACCUGUGUUUUAGUUGAUUUAUAUACAUUUAAACUCAGUUUUUCACAAUUCCAUUUUAAUCCUAGUAAAAAUUCCCUGUCUUAGGUCAGUUAGGAUCACCACUUUAUUUUAAGAAUGUGAAAUGUCAGAAUAAUAGUAGAGAGAAUGAUUUAUUUCUUCUUUUAUUUCUUUCAUCACAUUCCCAGUGGGUCAGAAGUUUACACACACCCAAUUAGUAUUUGGUUCACUGCCUUUAAAUUGUUUAAUUUGGGUCAAACGUUUCGGGUAGCCUUUCACAAUAAGUUGGGGGAAUUUUGGCCCAUUCCUCCUGACAGAGCUGGUGUAACUGAGUCAGGUUUGUAGGCCUCCUUGCUCGCACAUGUUUUUUCAGUUCUGCCCACAAAUUUUCUACAGGUUUGAGGUCAGGGCUUUGUGAUGGCCACUCCAAUACCUUGACUUUGUUGUCCUUCAGCCAUUUUGCCACAACUUUGGGAGUAUGCUUGGGGUCAUUGUCCAUUUGGAAGACCCAUUUGCAACCAAGCUUUAACUUCCUGACUGAUGUCUUGAGAUGUUGCU
Molecule: long non-coding RNA, 1425 nt
Filed under: Oncorhynchus kisutch (coho salmon)
Lineage: Eukaryota; Metazoa; Chordata; Actinopteri; Salmoniformes; Salmonidae
Description: lncRNA (ENSOKIG00005026428.1)
Source: RNAcentral